CGGAAUUACUGGGCGUAAAGGGCGCGUAGGUGGCCUUGUAAGUUGAACGGGAAAUCCCUGGGCUCAACCCAGGAACUGCGUCCAAGACUGGGAGGCUUGAAUCCGGGAGAGGGAUGCGGAAUUCCAGGUGUAGCGGUGAAAUGCGUAGAUAUCUGGAGGAACACCGGUGGCGUAGGCGGCAUCCUGGACCGGUAUUGACACUGAGGCGCGAAAGCCAGGGGAGCAAACGGG
RNAcentral lists this ribosomal RNA (231 nucleotides) under uncultured bacterium. RNAcentral describes it as "partial 16S ribosomal RNA". It matches the Rfam family "Bacterial small subunit ribosomal RNA", at positions 546 to 776 of the family's 1533-position model. The record is from RNAcentral.